CCUACGGGACGCAGCAGUGGGGAAUAUUGGACAAUGGGCGAAAGCCUGAUCCAGCAACGCCGCGUGAGGGAUGACGGCCUUCGGGUUGUAAACCUCUUUCAGCAGGGACGAAGCGAAAGUGACGGUACCUGCAGAAGAAGCACCGGCCAACUACGUGCCAGCAGCCGCGGUAAUACGUAGGGUGCGAGCGUUGUCCGGAAUUAUUGGGCGUAAAGGGCUCGUAGGCGGUUUGUCGCGUCGGGAGUGAAAACUCAGGGCUUAACCCUGAGCCUGCUUCCGAUACGGGCAGACUAGAGGUAUGCAGGGGAGAACGGAAUUCCUGGUGUAGCGGUGAAAUGCGCAGAUAUCAGGAGGAACACCGGUGGCGAAGGCGGCUCUCUGGGCAUUACCUGACGCUGAGGAGCGAAAGUGCGGGGAGCGAACAGGAUUAGAUACACCCGUAGU
This 444-nucleotide ribosomal RNA is filed under the name uncultured bacterium. RNAcentral describes it as "bacterial SSU rRNA". It matches the Rfam family "Bacterial small subunit ribosomal RNA", at positions 338 to 794 of the family's 1533-position model. The record is from RNAcentral.